RNAcentral lists this ribosomal RNA (235 nucleotides) under Aeromachus propinquus. RNAcentral describes it as "partial 28S ribosomal RNA". It matches the Rfam family "Eukaryotic large subunit ribosomal RNA", at positions 645 to 837 of the family's 3401-position model. The record is from RNAcentral. Lineage: Eukaryota; Metazoa; Arthropoda; Insecta; Lepidoptera; Hesperiidae.
GGACCCGUCUUGAAACACGGACCAAGGAGUCUUGCAUGUGUGCUAGUCAUUGAGACUAUACUUAAAACUGAAAGGCGCAACGAAAGUGAAGGCGCGCGCUCGUCGCGCGCUCAGGGAGGAUGGAGCGUCGGUCUAGAUCGAUCUCUCGCACUCCCGAGGCGUCUCGUUUCCAAUCAGUGAAUGCAGGCGCGCUCUGAGCACAGAUGCUGGGACCCGAAAGAUGGUGAACUAUGCA